UACGGGGGGUGCAAGCGUUGUUCGGAAUUACUGGGCGUAAAGGGCUCGUAGGCGGCCAACUAAGUCGGACGUGAAAUCCCCAGGCUCAACCUGGGAACUGCGUCCGAUACUGGAUGGCUUGAAUCCGGGAGAGGGAUGCAGAAUUCCAGGUGUAGCGGUGAAAUGCUUAGAUAUCUGGAGGAAUACCGGUGGCGAAGGCGGCAUCCUGGACCGGCAUUGACGCUGAGGAGCGAAAGCCAGGGGAGCAAACGGG
This 253-nucleotide ribosomal RNA is filed under the name uncultured bacterium. Its description in RNAcentral is "partial 16S ribosomal RNA". It matches the Rfam family "Bacterial small subunit ribosomal RNA", at positions 524 to 776 of the family's 1533-position model. The record is from RNAcentral.